GACGAACGCUGGCGGCGUGCUUAACACAUGCAAGUCGAACGGAAAGGCCCUGCUUUUGUGGGGUGCUCGAGUGGCGAACGGGUGAGUAACACGUGAGUAACCUGCCCUUGACUUUGGGAUAACUUCAGGAAACUGGGGCUAAUACCGGAUAGGAGCUCCUGCUGCAUGGUGGGGGUUGGAAAGUUUCGGCGGUUGGGGAUGGACUCGCGGCUUAUCAGCUUGUUGGUGGGGUAGUGGCUUACCAAGGCUUUGACGGGUAGCCGGCCUGAGAGGGUGACCGGCCACAUUGGGACUGAGAUACGGCCCAGACUCCUACGGGAGUCAGCAGUGGGGAAUAUUGCACAAUGGGCGGGAGCCUGAUGCAGCAACGCCGCGUGCGGGAUGACGGCCUUCGGGUUGUAAACCGCUUUCGCCUGUGACGAAGCGUGAGUGACGGUAAUGGGUAAAGAAGCACCGGCUAACUACGUG
This 468-nucleotide ribosomal RNA is filed under the name uncultured bacterium. Its description in RNAcentral is "partial 16S ribosomal RNA". It matches the Rfam family "Bacterial small subunit ribosomal RNA", at positions 28 to 507 of the family's 1533-position model. The record is from RNAcentral.